This is a non-coding RNA of Pelobates cultripes (western spadefoot toad), 7001 nucleotides long. The record is from the annotation of a GenBank genome assembly. NCBI's taxonomy places the organism in Eukaryota, Metazoa, Chordata, Amphibia, Anura, Pelobatidae.
CUUUAUUAUAAAACUUUUAGUAAACCAAUGUUGGAUUGUACACUAAUAUAUGUUUUUUUCUCACUUUAAAAUAAGGUAAAAAAUAAAAGUAAAUACACAACAGCAAGUAUAUUAGUAUAAUUAGAUGUAAUGAACAGCAUAACAGAGUAGCACAACAUACAAACAUAAAAUGUCAGUGUAACCCUACCAUGAUUGUUAUACAUAACCGGUUACCUAACAUUAGCAAACCACAUAUGGUAAAAAAAGUAAAGUAUAAAUGUAAAAAAGUAUGGCUAAAAAUAACUUUCACAAAAUGGUUUCAGUGGAAGCUUACUAAAAGUGACAGUUGCAAUUGCCCAAAACAUUGAGUCUACCUAUUCAUAUGAAUUGGUGUUGAAGUCUAUAGAAGAAUCCAUAAUUUAAUUGUUAAAAACUCAUUUUCCAGCUUGGAACAGUAUAUGACUAUUGCAAAUAUUUUUUUUUUAUCCUUGCAAAAUUUUCUAUUUGAGUAAAUACAUAGGGAGUAUGAACUCAGAUGCAUCUCUACAGCAAUAUUGCUUUGUUUCUUAUAAUAAUUGAGAGAAUGGUCCCUCUAAUAUGAUUAGGAUCCAAAAUCCAGGAACAACCUGAUUUUUGGUUUUGGUAGUGGCGAUUCUGUCAUUAAAACGGCAAAAUGGGUAAACCACCACUGUACUCAUAUGGACAGAAUAGUUUGGCAUUCGGACCCUGAAUGUUUACCUUUGGAAUGUUUCUGAUCAGGUUUUUAAACUAUUGGGAGAGAAUGGAGAUGAUCCAGCACUUGGUCCAUAAUAAUAGCUAUGAUACAAUCAGAACAAAGUGGAGGGUCUUAAAAGAUGAUUUAAUUGAGUCACCUCAAGUCUUCUGUGAAUGGGAGGUAAAUGUCUAAACUUUUAAUUAGAAAAACAGGGUAAUGUUAAAAGGAGUAAUAUGUAGAAAGUAUGAAAUGGAGGACAAAACUAACGUCUGGUGCAGGGCUUGUAAAAUGGCAAAGGAUUAUUCAAGUUGCAUGAAGAAGCCUUUGGGUAGGUUUUCACAUAUAUAAUCUACAGCUUGAAUUAAAAUUCUAGUUGCACUAAUGUCAUGACAAAUUAUAAAAAAAAUUAAGACAGAUAAUGGGUUAGUAGUAACUAAAUAUCAGAGUGUCAUUACACUCAUAACAGAUACAAAAUUAAUAAUGUGUUGGUAUAUUAAGGAUCAAAGUAAAUGAUUAGUUAGAAAAGAUAAUAUGAGAUAGUUUUAAAUAAAAUUAGAUAAAGAGGCAGUAGUCCCACAUUGAUCAGGAGGUGCUUGUUAAAAAAAGCUAUCAAUUGCACUUUUACAGUCAUCUUAAAAAUCUACUCAUAAAUAUGAUAUAUAUAUAUAUAUAUAUAUAUAUAUAUAUAUAUAUAUAUAUAUAAAAUAAAAAACUUUGUAUGAUGAACUAGAGUUAUUGGAGGAAUGUAGCCAUGCAGUUGACAUUAGAGAAACAUGAUGACAUCCAAUUUAAGAAUGAGCAGUUAUUUUAUGCUGUUGUAUACACUUAUAGGUGAUGCAGUGAACAAUAAUUGUAAAGGAUUACAUUUAUCUUUUAAACUUUAGCUGAAUCCUGAAUAUAUAUAAAAAAAUUGCUACAUGGUGACACUUGUUAUAAUUUAAAACUCUUAUAAAUUAAAAUAACAAAUGCAGUAGUUGUAUGAAUUUCCCCAAAAAUAAAUCCCUAAACAUUGUAUCAGUUAAUGAUCAUUGAUAUCAUAAUUAGUGAUCUACAGAGUCCUUUAAAAAUAAUAACUAAGGAUUCUUUGCGCAAUAGUUAAUGUAACAGUAUGCUAUAUGAUCUAAAAAUUUUAAAUAAUGUAACAAAUUGAUAUGUGAUGGAUUUUAAUGCCACAUUUUAUGCAGGUUAAUUCAGCAUAAGGUACUUUUUAAAUUAUCUGCCUUGGUUAUUAUUUUUUAAGAACAUACACUGAGGUUUGAUAUAUUUUUUAGCUAAAAUUCAAUAAAUUUAGUAAUAGCAACAAAAUAAGUAGCGUAGUCAUAGAGGCAUUUGGAAUAUAAGACAAUGUUGGUUAAAUCAUGUAUGUAUGCCAGCACAAUAAUAUCUAUAUACAAAGAUAACAGAGGAAGUCAGGAAAUUACAUUUAUAUAUUAGAAACUAAGAAAACAAAAUCAUUUUAAAAAAUGGAAAAUACAAUAAAAUACAAUAAUGCAAAAAAAUAAAUAAAAAUUAUGCCCACUAACAAUUUAAUUUAGUAAAUUUAGUAAAUGGACUACUGAAGAUGAGUAAAAGAGAUACAAUUGCAAUUAAGGUUUUUCUUAAAAGGACACAGUAGGCACUGUAAUUGCUUCAUCUCAUUGAAGUUGUUACAGUGUCUUGAGACCCCUGGAAUUAUCCAACAGAGUUUUAGGAACCAGUUUUUUGAGACGGACAUUAUAGAAGUAGAAAAUGAUUAGAAAGGAAUUAAAUAUUUUAUUUAUGAAAAAAAACAAGAGAAUGUUUACACCAGAAAAAAAAUAUUCAGGGUAUAUGUAAACAUAUAGAGAUCUAUACAUGGAUAAUACAAUGUCCUUAUUAACAGGACUAUGCAAAGGGAAAGGAGUCUCCCAAUGAGGAAGGAAAUUAAAUUUAACUUAACAACAGAAAGGCUUCUUCACAGUAAGAAUAAUAAAUAUAUGUUAUUCCAUUUCUGUAGAUAUUUUUUCAUUAAAAUAAAUGCAUUUACGUUUCAGUGCUUUAUCAGCAACACAGAAUUUAUAGAAUAAUCACACUGUGGGAAAUGAUUAAUUUUAACUCAUUGAUCCAAAUAGAUAUCUAAUUACUAUUUUUGUUUUGUUUUGCAAACUUGAAAUUCUAUCAUGUUUUUAUUUUUCUUAUGAUCUGUUGAAGAUUGUAUAAAGGUUGUACUUGUUGGUCUCUUGUUGCUAUUUUACUUUGUCACUAGCUUCUCCCAAACAUGAACUGAUUUUAAAAUUUCAUAGAUUUCAUUACAAUGAUUCAACAUUCCUAGAUUGCAUCUUUAUCUACUCAUUUAUAAACAAGUAAGGGAUCUACAUGAUCAUACUAUGUUGAUGGUUUGUAUUUUUUCAGAUUGAAACUUAUCAGCACAUAAGAAAACAAUAACAGUAAUUUCAUGUUUCAAUGAUUGAUAUUGGGUGCAAUCUAUAUUUAUUGAUAAAACUUUUUUACUAAAAAAUAUAUAGUUUUCUACUAUUUUUAUUGAGGCAAUUCUUUUAUUUACUUUCCUAAAACAUCCUAUGCUCAACCUACAACAGAUCCUGAGGGACUUAUCCUUAUUGGCUAUGAAACACAGAAAAGUAACAUAAUAGACAAUUUGUCAAUUGAUUCUAAAAGUUAUGUUUGUAUAUAUCAAUGCUAGUAAUGAUUAUACCUUUUUUUCAUAACUAAAUGUUUAAUUAAAAAGAAAACAUAUUGGACUUUUAAACAUUCUGCAUGAUUCAGUCUUCUCAUUAAUAGUGGAGUAAGAUUACUUCCAGUAGGAAAGUGUUCAUGCAUACACUUGGCACAUUGUAUUUUAUUUUCAUGUAUUUUGCAGUAUAAAAUUUAAUCAAUAAAGCCUCACUUACCAUCAUAUAUACUCUAGUUACAAUUACCAGUGUGUAGAUGAACACAUUUAUCUGCCCGAACUCGCUAGUCACUGAUGUAAUGCUUGUAUGUUUGCUUAAAUUAUAAGCUUACCCCCUGCUUUCAAACAUUACAGAGGGUUUCUGGGGGUCAUAUUACUCCUACAGUCGGGGAGGGGAUGGAGUGAAUGAACUAUUACGCUGUUGACAUUACAUUAGGAAUCCAAGAUAUUGAUAAAUAUUGUGAUAUUCUCAAAUGCAGACAUUCUAUUUAAAUUAUGUUGCCAUUUUUUGUAAACUGUAUUGCUAAUAGUCGUAUCCGUACAAAUACCUUAAAGUAAGACAUUUUACCUAUUUUAUUUAUCUACUUUUGUCAUAUAUGCUGUAUGUCAGAAAACUUGCAAUUUUGCUUUUAUGCUAACAUUUUUGACCCUAUGUGAAGAAAAGAUAAAGAAUAUUUUGUAAAGGAUGAAUGUGUUAGUAAAAAAUAAGCAUUGUGUAAAUGUAUAUGAUUCAAGUUUUUAAGUUUAUCUGCAAAGUAAUCAAUACAUAAAAUAGCAGUGUCAUGAUUAUGUGCUAGCUAUGCAUGCCUUGUUUUAAAUAAAAAUGCUAUUUUUUUCAAUCAAAAAGUGUUGAAUAAUGAAGGGGUUAAUAUUUCUCUCUCUGUACAGUACACACAAAGGAUAAUAUUGGGUCUGAUCAACGGGUGUAUUUCUAGACUAUUCUAUACAUCUUCAUGCAGGUACAUCAGAAAAAACUCUGGCAUUGACUAAUUACAUGGAAAAUGAAUGCUUUGCUGGAUGCCCUUUUGAUUUACUAGAAAUCUAUGGAAUUUGUCUAGGUGUCCCGUUCCCAUUUGAUUGUUUUGGGCACGGUAACAUAUGAGCUGUUCCAACAAUCUGAACUUCUUUAGACUAUCAGAUAUAAUUCAUCAACAAAACUUAGUAUGCUUUUAGUAAUUUUCAUUUUGCUAAAUGGAUCAGCAACUCUAAAUAACAUUGCUCCAUUUUCAUGCAAAUAGCUUGUUUCUUGAAUUUAGCUCAAAAUAUUAGAAUACAGCUUUCUUACUAAAUUUGCUUUUUUUUGUAAUCAGCUUUAUAAAUGAGAGAUCAAGUUGAAACUAUCAUUUCAAACAUCCUCAAAGGGUAGAGAAUGUAUUAGAAAUGCUAACACCAUAUGUAACUGUAUUUUAGACUGCUUUGAUUAUUAUCAUUACUUGGUGAUCUUCACAUUCCUAUACAAUACAAUUUAAAGGGACACUAUAGUCACCAGAACAACUACAGCUUAAUGUAGUUGUUCUGGUGAGUAUAAUCAUUAUAUGCAGGCAUUUUAAUGCAAACACUGCUUUUUCAGAGAAAAGGCAAUGUUUACAUUGCCCCUAUGGACACCUCCAAGUGGCCACGCCUUAGAUGGCCACUGGAGGUGCUUCCUGGAUCAGUGCUGCACAGUAGGCAGCUCUGCCGUUCAGCAUCCCCACGCUCUGCAUGGGGAUGCUGAAUUUUCCUCAUAGAGAAGCAUUGAUUCAAUGCAUCUCUAUGAAGAGGUGCUGAUUGGCCAACACUGCAUUUGGCCCCGACUCUUGCUCAUUUUAGCCAAGUUUUUCAUGCUUUAGAGGGGAGUAAGGGGGAGAGGGCAAGCCACCUUAAUGGUGGGUUUUGCUCUACAAGGUGAGGAAUACAUGUUUGUGCUCCUGACCCUUUAGUGUUCCUUUAAAAAAAACUACCCAUAUUAAAAAAAAAAAAUUGCUAAAUGUUCUUUGAAAAAGAAGUGAAAUAAAAAUAAACAUAGUGGAACUUUACUGUGAAAUAUUGUUUUGAUUCUAAAUGGGUCAAAGAAGAGCAAUAAGCGGAUUUUUUCUUUAUUUUAUAUGCUGGUUUUCUAGACAUGUCUAACAAAACAUAGUUUUUUUUUUCUACAUUCUCUGCUGGCAUAGAAAAUAUAUGAUAUACGUUGAGCCCUUUUGUAAGAAAUAUUGAAUAAUACAUGACGAAAAAGUAGACAUUUCUAUUUUAACAUAGAUUUUUUGAUUGGGUAUUAAAUCAAAGAUGCCAUGACACUGUGAGUAUAGUUCUUUGUUUCCUUUAACAACUGCUAAACUCAUUUUAAAUUUUAUAGAGAUUAGUUUUAGCUUCGUAUUUUUAGAGUGACCCAGUUCUGCAAAAUGAAUCACAGACUUGUCAUAGUAACCAACCAGUUAUGUGCGGAAAGUCUUUAUUUAAUAUUUUCUUUAUGCUACCCAUCCUAAUAUAAUUUGGUGUACAAGGUUUGCAUUAAAUAAAGGUUAAUAAACUGUUUCAGAUAUAAGACAUACCAAUAUAAGAAUCUGUACAAAUGCAUAUUAAGCAUGAUUGUAAGAUAAAUUAAAAAUAAAAAUUUCUGCUACAGCCGAGGAAAAAAUCAAUGUUUUAAGAGUAAGUAAUCAAUAGAUCACCCCGGAUUGAAGAUUCCCUAUAUCCCCAAUCCCUGAGCAGAAAUUUAUAUAAUGUAAGCAGAGAGGUAGAAAAGACAAAUCUCAAAAUUCUAUUGGCAACCUCAUGUUUUAAAAGUGAUAUCACAAAAUGGGCAAAAGAGUAAAUUUUCAGAGCUUGCUCUUGACCCAUAGCUAAACUACAAACUAUUCAAUAUUUUGAAUUACACACCUUUUCUUUUUAAAGGUAUAAUGCUGCAGCAGAAUUGUAUUUGUGUACUGUGUUUUAUAGUUGCAAUCAUAAUUACUAUUCACAUUGCAUUUGCAUUAGAUAAAUAAUUAACUUGAUGCAUCAUUACGUAACUUGACCUUACAAACUUGCAAAUUGCAAAAAGAACUGUUACAAGUCUUUAGCUAAUAAAACUGAUCAUGUUUAUAACAAUAAACUCUGCGAUACUUAUUUUAUUAGUGUACAUUUCACCCAUGUAAUCACUGGUUUGGAGAAAGCAAAUUGCCUGUCUAAUGCUAAGAUGUAAUAACACAAUCUGCAAAGGUUCAUUUUUUUUUCAAUUUUUUGAGGUUCUAUGUACUUAAUCAUCAUAAAAAACAAUGAGAUGUUGAUUUUCUCAAAUUCCCCAGCAUACUGUUUUGCAUACUAGACAAUUUUGACUUGAUUCAGUAAAUUUAACAGCUCCUACCCGUAGGCUGUAUUGUUAUAUUGGCAGUGAAAAGCACAACUGUGGAGUUAAAACUGCUAGUGCAUGGGCAGAACUGCUUAUUACACUUUAACUCAUAAAUGGCAUAUUUUGCUAAUAAAUCGCGUGAACUAUUUUAUAAAAAAAGUAUCAACAGCCAAGCUAAACGUUAUAAAGCUCUCUAUAAUUUCCAUUAAUUCUAGAUAAUUUUGCAGUAAAAAAGGCUAACAUUUUGUAUUUUUGAAUAGCAGCUACUGUCGACACUGAAAUACCAUUAUAUUGAUAAUAAACACAAAUUAGCAGCAUUUUUAUGUAAAUUAUGCGCAAUGAUUGGUCCUAUA